This 490-nucleotide ribosomal RNA is filed under the name uncultured bacterium. RNAcentral's name for it is "partial 16S ribosomal RNA". It matches the Rfam family "Bacterial small subunit ribosomal RNA", at positions 28 to 507 of the family's 1533-position model. The record is from RNAcentral.
GAUGAACGCUAGCUACAGGCUUAACACAUGCAAGUCGCGGGGCAGCAUGGGGGUUGCUUGCAAUCCCCGAUGGCGACCGGCGCACGGGUGAGUAACGCGUAUCCAACCUGCCCUUCACCACGGGAUAACCCGGCGAAAGUCGGACUAAUACCGUAUGUUGUCCAUUGACGGCAUCCGAUUUGGACGAAAGGCUUGGCGGUGAGGGAUGGGGAUGCGUCCGAUUAGCCAGACGGCGGGGUAACGGCCCACCGUGGCUACGAUCGGUAGGGGUUCUGAGAGGAAGGUCCCCCACACUGGAACUGAGACACGGUCCAGACUCCUACGGGAGGCAGCAGUGAGGAAUAUUGGUCAAUGGGCGUAAGCCUGAACCAGCCAAGUAGCGUACAGGAUGACGGCCCUAGGGGUUGUAAACUGCUUUUAUGCGGGGAUAAAGUGGCCCACGUGUGGGCUUUUGCAGGUACCGCAUGAAUAAGGACCGGCUAAUUCCGUG